This 253-nucleotide ribosomal RNA is filed under the name uncultured bacterium. RNAcentral's name for it is "partial 16S ribosomal RNA". It matches the Rfam family "Bacterial small subunit ribosomal RNA", at positions 524 to 776 of the family's 1533-position model. The record is from RNAcentral.
UACAGAGGGGGCAAGCGUUGUUCGGAAUUACUGGGCGUAAAGGGCGCGUAGGCGGCCUGCUAAGUCGAACGUGAAAUCCCCGGGCUCAACCCGGGAACUGCGUCCGAUACUGGUGGGCUUGAAUCCGGGAGAGGGAUGUGGAAUUCCAGGUGUAGCGGUGAAAUGCGUAGAUAUCUGGAGGAACACCGGUGGCGAAGGCGGCAUCCUGGACCGGUAUUGACGCUGAGGCGCGAAAGCCAGGGGAGCAAACAGG